CCUACGGGUGGCUGCAGUGGGGAAUAUUGGACAAUGGGGGGAACCCUGAUCCAGCCAUGCCGCGUGUGUGAAGAAGGCCCUCGGGUUGUAAAGCACUUUCAGUGAGGAAGAACGCCUGGUGGUUAAUACCCAUCAGGAAAGACAUCACUCACAGAAGAAGCACCGGCUAACUCCGUGCCAGCAGCCGCGGUAAUACGGAGGGUGCGAGCGUUAAUCGGAAUUACUGGGCGUAAAGCGCGCGUAGGUGGCUUGAUAAGCCGGUUGUGAAAGCCCCGGGCUCAACCUGGGAACGGCAUCCGGAACUGUCAAGCUAGAGUGCAGGAGAGGAAGGUAGAAUUCCCGGUGUAGCGGUGAAAUGCGUAGAGAUCGGGAGGAAUACCAGUGGCGAAGGCGGCCUUCUGGACUGAGACUGACGCUGAGGUGCGAAAGCGUGGGUAGCAAACAGGAUUAGAUACCCUAGUAGUC
Molecule: ribosomal RNA, 465 nt
Filed under: Vreelandella stevensii
Lineage: Bacteria; Pseudomonadati; Pseudomonadota; Gammaproteobacteria; Oceanospirillales; Halomonadaceae
Description: partial 16S ribosomal RNA
Rfam family: Bacterial small subunit ribosomal RNA
Source: RNAcentral